Molecule: unclassified non-coding RNA, 465 nt
Filed under: Hevea brasiliensis (rubber tree)
Lineage: Eukaryota; Viridiplantae; Streptophyta; Magnoliopsida; Malpighiales; Euphorbiaceae
Source: RNAcentral
GGGAGGGGAGGGGUGUUAUUAUUAUUGAUAGGUAUGUUUAUUAAUUUGUUGAAUGUUAAUAUAAAAGUUAGUUUUUGGUUGUUGAAGGGAAAUGUAUGAUUUGGUAUUAAAAGAAGGUAUGUGGUAUGAAAUUGUAUUUUUUGAAGGAAAAUGAUGUUGUUUUUUUUUUUAGGUGGUAGUUUUAGGAUGGGAGAAGUAAAGGAAUGGGUAUAGAAUGGGAUUAGGAGGUUGUAGGGAAUGUGGAUUUUUAGAAAAGAGUGUUGUGUUUAGUAUAAGGUUUUUUGAGAGGUUGAAUUGUUUUUGUUAAUGGAUUUUAAGUUUUUUUAUUUUUUUUGUGAUUUUUUUUAGGUUGAUUUAGAAGAGAAAUUUUUUGUUAGUUUUGGUUAAGUGGAGAAGUAUUGUUUUAUGGUGAUUUGUGUGAUUUUAUUUGAUUGUUUUAAAUUUUUUUGAUAUUUAUGUAUUGUU